This 490-nucleotide ribosomal RNA is filed under the name uncultured bacterium. RNAcentral's name for it is "partial 16S ribosomal RNA". It matches the Rfam family "Bacterial small subunit ribosomal RNA", at positions 30 to 507 of the family's 1533-position model. The record is from RNAcentral.
AUUGAACGCUGGCGGCAGGCCUAACACAUGCAAGUCGAACGGUAACAGGAAGACGCUUGCUUCUUUGCUGACGAGUGGCGGACGGGUGAGUAAUGUCUGGGAAACUGCCUGAUGGAGGGGGAUAACUACUGGAAACGGUAGCUAAUACCGCAUAACGUCGCAAGACCAAAGAGGGGGACCUUCGGGCCUCUUGCCAUCGGAUGUGCCCAGAUGGGAUUAGCUAGUAGGUGGGGUAACGGCUCACCUAGGCGACGAUCCCUAGCUGGUCUGAGAGGAUGACCAGCCACACUGGAACUGAGACACGGUCCAGACUCCUACGGGAGGCAGCAGUGGGGAAUAUUGCACAAUGGGCGCAAGCCUGAUGCAGCCAUGCCGCGUGUAUGAAGAAGGCCUUCGGGUUGUAAAGUACUUUCAGCGGGGAGGAAGGGAGUAAAGUUAAUACCUUUGCUCAUUGACGUUACCCGAAGAAGAAGCACCGGCUAACUCCGUG